AAACACAUGAAGCACAACUGCAGUGGGUUAUAAAAAACGGCCUUUCGAGUUGAGCAAUAAAUUCGUUCAAGCAGCCAUUCUGAAGGACAAACUGGCUCUGUAUUUAAGAGGGGCAUUCCAGCACUUCUCUAGCCACUGGGUUGACAAUGACUCACCAAAGCCUCUGGUAGCCACCACAGGACACCCAGAGCAUAUGUUUUAAAGCUGAACACCAAACUGCGGACUUCGGGAGGUCAUCAGCCUUCAAGCUUCAGUCUCUGUGUGUUCACAGGUGCUGUAAACACACGCAUCACUACUAAUAUCCCACUUCAGUGCUAUUGCUGCUCCCAAAACUCCAGCUGGCACACUUUUUCCAGUAGCCAUUCUACUUGGUAUGCUUACUUAUCAGCUGUCCUCCAGGGGCCUCACAUUAGAUGUUUCUCUGACUAACCAAACAUGACACACAGCUGAAGUCAGAAAAACCAGAUUGAUAAUUUCACUCAAACUAUUUUCCUUCAUUCUAACAAUUUACUGGAGUACACAAUUGUGACUAUUUUUAGCCAUAGGAACUCAUAGAAAGACCAACUUCAUUAGACCUACAAAAUCGAAUUGUGUAACAGUAUAUGCAGUAUGUGUAGGAAUAAAAAGCAUUUCUCAAAUAUGCAGUACUGGAUUUUGCAAAAGCACCUUACACUUAGCUAUAAAGGAGUGGAAAACACAAAGAUGAGUAACUGCACCUUUCAAAAGACUAGAGCUAUACCAAUAAUACAAAGGUGUAAACAAAUAAUGAUGAGAUGACAAAGGCUGAGUGUUUUCUAUUUGGAAGCUAUGUUGUUGAGUUAUUUAUGUAUAUAAUUUCAUGCAAUCUUCAUGUUAUGGGGAUGUUCUAAUCCACUGUGACUCUGUCCUUAAAUAAAAGGGAGAUUUGGACAUAGAGAGAGGCACACGGGGAGGAUGCCAUAUGAGAAUUGACACUGUGCUGUCACAAGCCAAGGAACUACUGGAAGGAGAGAAAGA
Molecule: long non-coding RNA, 996 nt
Organism: Homo sapiens (human)
Lineage: Eukaryota; Metazoa; Chordata; Mammalia; Primates; Hominidae
Exons: 3
Source: RefSeq, a predicted model, not a curated record